UGUAUAGUGCUACAGCAGGCAGAAUCGC
This 28-nucleotide non-coding RNA is filed under the name Bombyx mori (domestic silkworm). Lineage: Eukaryota; Metazoa; Arthropoda; Insecta; Lepidoptera; Bombycidae. The record is from RNAcentral.